CGCGGAGCAGCAGUGCGUGAUCCUGCACAAUGGGGGCAACCCUGAUGCCGCCACGCCGCGUGAGUGAUGAAGCCCUUAGGGUUGUAAAGUCCUUUCGUACGGGACGAUAAUGACGGUACCGGCAGAAGAAGCACCGGCUAACUUCGUGCCAGCAGCCGCGGUAAUACGUAGGGUGCGAGCGUUGCUCGGAAUUAUUGGGCGUAAAGGGCGCGUAGGCGGUUUGUUAAGUCGGGUGUGAAAUCCCCGGGCUCAACCCCGGAACUGCAUUCGAAACUGCCGAGCUAGAGUACGGGAGAGGAGAGUGGAAUUCCCGGUGUAGCGGUGAAAUGCGUAGAUAUCGGAGGAACACCAGUGGCGAAAGCGGCUCUC
This 369-nucleotide ribosomal RNA is filed under the name uncultured soil bacterium. Its description in RNAcentral is "bacterial SSU rRNA". It matches the Rfam family "Bacterial small subunit ribosomal RNA", at positions 342 to 729 of the family's 1533-position model. The record is from RNAcentral.